AAAUCUUUUCUUUUAGUUAUAUCUUAUUAAAUUUUCUUUAAUAAAUUUUAUUUCUUAUAUUAUUUUAGUGAGUUCGGCUACUAUACUAUCGAUAGUACCAAGCCCUUGGUACUAUUGAGUUUUCUAUCCUUUGAUCAUUUCCACCCGUUAGAUUACACUGUUAAACCAACCACCCACUCAACCCUAGGGGUUUGUUAUCAAUUUAACCGGGAACUACUAUCAUCCUAACCACACAUCUUUUUAUCCAACGGCCGAAAACUCAAUAGUACUAAAGACUUGGUACUAUUGAUAGUAUAGUAGCAUAAUUCUUAUUUAGUAGCCUAAUUUUGUGAAUAUGUAUUGCAUUUAUCAAAUAUUAUUUUUUCAUUCUUUUCUUUUCUCUAUAAUAUUAAUGAGAUUAUACAAAAUUUUCUAAAAUAUAUAUAGCCAAUAAAUUCAUAUUUUAUUUUCGGAUACUCAUAUUUUUGGCCAAUUUGCAUAAAAAAAUCCACAAGUUUUGAGCUUUUGUAAAACUGGGCCGCCUUUUACGAUUUUGCAGAUUCGGUCCGAAUUUUCAACAAAUUAACCAAAAUACUCUUAUACCUUUUUCUUUCUCUUUUUCUUUUCUCAUGUUCUUCUUUUUUUUUCUUGCCGAAGAAGUCGGUAG
RNAcentral lists this long non-coding RNA (646 nucleotides) under Ananas comosus (pineapple). Its description in RNAcentral is "long non-coding RNA (ACOM_LNC011922)". Lineage: Eukaryota; Viridiplantae; Streptophyta; Magnoliopsida; Poales; Bromeliaceae. The record is from RNAcentral.